AUCCAGCUAUCUCCAAGCACGUACUCCUUACUCAUCGGCAGUAAUCAACAAUAGACAAUCUGGAGAGUUAGAUAACGGGUUUGGUGGUAUUCUGUGUACUCACUAUUCUCCAAUCCGUCCGAGUACAGUCAGCACUUACAUCAGAAAAUGUUAACAUAAAUUUAGUUGUACUCUAGUCUGAACUGAAGUUACUUUGGAUUGUAAUCGUAAUAAAAGUAAGACAAGGUAUAUAUAAUAGACGAGAGCAAGUACGAGCAUAUUACAAUAUACACACAAAGAAGCGAAGUCUAUAAUAUGAAAAAGGUGUUAGCAAGGUAGAAUAGAAGCAGUUGAUAGUGUACGAGGUUGUUCUCUGUUUCUAACGGUGCGCUGGUUAUUGGAAAGCUGUAUAGUACUAGUACUGUACAAGUACCUGUGUUUGUGCGGAGUACAGAGCAUGUUUCUGUACAAAAUGACAGAGUAAUAGAAGUGAUCGAUUGGUCUUAUUGUCGAAAUAUCCAGCAUAUGCGACGAACGGUAUAGGAACAUAAUACAAAAAAGUGUAACCAAGAUAAGGAGACAAAGGAUUUAAAAACAAGGAUGAAUAAUAAUGCAUGCUAUGCACUUUUGAAAGACGAUGCGGGAGUCUUGUCCUCUGUUUGUGUAUAUGUAUGGAAAGAUAUACAUAUAUUGUUGAAUAAUGCUUGAGCAUCUGCCUGGCAUACGCUCCGCCUACCAAUUCCGCUCGUUAAUUUUCGACGACCCGUUUUAGUUAAAAACUUCCUUUACUUAUACUUCUUAUCCUCUAUCCUCUACUCUUUCAUUUAAAAGCUACUUCGUUGUUAUCACAUGGCUUUUCUCUUCCUUGCCACGCCGGAUUAUGUUUUAUUUUUUCCCUGAUGGCUUAUCUCGGAUGCUCCCAAAUACAAAUACUAUACUACAGAUCCCGUUGCUUCUUUAGAGAAUAUUUUACAUCGAUCUCGUAUAGGCAAGGUCGUGGAUUUUUUUUUUUCGACUAAUUUAUAGUCAUUAUUUUAUUAUUUAAGUAUAUGAUUAUUUAUUUGUGUUUAAAAUUACCGUAACAACUGGUUUCCUCGAGGUAAACUCGUUUCUUUUUAUUUUCGCUGUUGUAAAUCUUAUUGACGAUAUUUUGAUUAUGUAAUUAUACUUUAUUAAGUCUUAUCUUAAUUAUAAUGUGUCCAGUUGAAAAAAUAAAAAUUGUUGAUAAUU
Cotesia glomerata is the source of this 1209-nucleotide long non-coding RNA. RefSeq lists it as uncharacterized. The record is from RefSeq and is a predicted model, not a curated record. The transcript has 4 exons. NCBI's taxonomy places the organism in Eukaryota, Metazoa, Arthropoda, Insecta, Hymenoptera, Braconidae.